RNAcentral lists this ribosomal RNA (419 nucleotides) under Doroneuria baumanni. RNAcentral describes it as "partial 12S ribosomal RNA". The stretch from base 54 to 419 matches the Rfam family "Microsporidia small subunit ribosomal RNA", at positions 752 to 1207 of the family's 1311-position model. Lineage: Eukaryota; Metazoa; Arthropoda; Insecta; Plecoptera; Perlidae. The record is from RNAcentral.
UAAACUACGAUUAGAUACCCUAUUAUUUUAAAUGUAAAGAUUGUAUAAGGCCCGGGUAGUAAUAGUUAUGUUCUUGAAACUCAGAGAAUUUGGCGGUGUUUUAGUCCCUUCAGAGGAACCUGUCCCAUAAUCGAUAUUCCACGUUAAAUUUUACUUGAUUUUGUAAUCAGUUUGUAUACCGCCGUCGUCAGAAUGUCCUUUCAGGGAAAGAAUUUUCUUGAGUUAUUGAUUAGAAAAGAUGUCAGGUCAAGGUGCAGUUAAUGGUCAAGAGGAGGUGGGUUACAAUAAGUGGAUUUAUGACGGAUAAUAGUUUGAAAAUUUAAAGUUGUUUAAAGGUGGAUUUGAUUGUAAUUAUAUAUAGCUAUUAAGUUAUUUUGAUUCUUGGCUCUAAAGCAUGCACACAUCGCCCGUCGCUCUUA